UCAAGUCCGUCUCGCUUAUGGUGU
Molecule: non-coding RNA, 24 nt
Filed under: Arabidopsis thaliana (thale cress)
Lineage: Eukaryota; Viridiplantae; Streptophyta; Magnoliopsida; Brassicales; Brassicaceae
Source: RNAcentral